Non-coding RNA from Pelobates cultripes (western spadefoot toad), 422 nucleotides. Lineage: Eukaryota; Metazoa; Chordata; Amphibia; Anura; Pelobatidae. The record is from the annotation of a GenBank genome assembly.
GAAGGAGUUGAUUCCCUGAAGUCCUUGCUUCCCCUCGAUGUACAGCAGUAACAGCAGCGGGUGGGAGCUGUGUUAAGCUCAGCCCCCGCUGCCGAUCUGGCGCAGCACCCACGGCAGUUUGGCUCCUACCCCACUUUCCUUCCGUGCGGCUGGUUUUCAAGUGGCUGCAUUGUGAACUGUCUGCUGCCCGGCACCCCAGUUGACAUGGAGCCCUGUGCAGCCAUCCAGAUAAGAUCCCUGGCCUUGGUUGUUACCACCCCUACCUAGUGGCACCCGGGACAGUUUAGAGUCAGGUCUAAAUGACUCCGUUAUAUUAAGGAGACAACAACAAAAAAUCAUCUUAUAAUGAUAAUCCCUAAUACUUCUGUUACCUUUUGUGUAACUUUACCCCACUCCCUCUAGCAUGUAAGCUCAUUGAGCAG